RNAcentral lists this ribosomal RNA (513 nucleotides) under Fusarium solani. RNAcentral describes it as "eukaryotic LSU rRNA". The stretch from base 157 to 310 matches the Rfam family "5.8S ribosomal RNA". The record is from RNAcentral. Lineage: Eukaryota; Fungi; Ascomycota; Sordariomycetes; Hypocreales; Nectriaceae.
CAUUACCGAGUUAUACAACUCAUCAACCCUGUGAACAUACCUAUAACGUUGCCUCGGCGGGAACAGACGGCCCCGUAACACGGGCCGCCCCCGCCAGAGGACCCCCUAACUCUGUUUCUAUAAUGUUUCUUCUGAGUAAACAAGCAAAUAAAUUAAAACUUUCAACAACGGAUCUCUUGGCUCUGGCAUCGAUGAAGAACGCAGCGAAAUGCGAUAAGUAAUGUGAAUUGCAGAAUUCAGUGAAUCAUCGAAUCUUUGAACGCACAUUGCGCCCGCCAGUAUUCUGGCGGGCAUGCCUGUUCGAGCGUCAUUACAACCCUCAGGCCCCCGGGCCUGGCGUUGGGGAUCGGCGGAAGCCCCCUGCGGGCACAACGCCGUCCCCCAAAUACAGUGGCGGUCCCGCCGCAGCUUCCAUUGCGUAGUAGCUAACACCUCGCAACUGGAGAGCGGCGCGGCCACGCCGUAAAACACCCAACUUCUGAAUGUUGACCUCGAAUCAGGUAGGAAUACCCG